Molecule: long non-coding RNA, 2744 nt
Organism: Zonotrichia leucophrys gambelii
Lineage: Eukaryota; Metazoa; Chordata; Aves; Passeriformes; Passerellidae
Exons: 9
Source: RefSeq, a predicted model, not a curated record
AGGGGAGGAGGGGGCGACAACGGGAGGUGAGGAAGGCGCCCCCGCCCUGUCCCCCGGGAUGCUCCCCUGCCACAUCCCGGGGCGCCUCCUGCCCCGCAGGAGCCCCGCCAGCUGCCCAUGGACGUGCCACAGCCCCGCAGCACCCAGUCCGUAACAUCGGAUGUGCUUCAGCCUCCCCUGGUCUCUCCAGGCUGGCCAAGACAAAGACCAGUUGGCCUGGCACAGAGCCUACAGGGAAGCGCUCAUUUGUGGCUCAUCUGUGCUGCUGGACAUUCAUCUGCCCAUGCAUUUGGUCUGGUGUGUUUGUUCAUCAAAGUAAGUGUCCUUUAUCCCCCCUUUAUCAGCUUUCUGAGCUGAGCCAAUCCACGUGCUCAGGGUCCUGCCCAGUUUGCCAUGAUGGGACAGAGCCCUUGAAUUGAUAUGAACAGCUCUGGAGUUCUUACUUCUGCUGAAAGCAACAAUUGGGACCUUUAUUGACCCACUAUUAAUGGCCUCGAAUUGAGCUUAAUAGCUGGCUGCAUCUGUUUAUCACCAGCACUGACGGCUUGGCACGUCAUGUUCCAAAGUGCCUUGGUACUCAGCAUCACCAGCUCCUCAUCUGUACCUGUGCCCACCAGUGAUGAGCCAGGUGCUGCCUGACAAUGAUGUGGAGCACAUCAAAUAAACUGUGUCCACAAAUAUCUGUAUUAACUACACUUUGUGAUAAAGAUCCAAAAUAGCUUCACAUUUUCAGCAUGUUGCUGAAUCAACACAUGGCACUGAGCAAAUGCUGCUUGGUGGUGGGAAAGGACGUCCAGGACAGCAGUGACAACCAUCCAAUACAUGUUAUUGCAGGCUCCCUGAGGAGCCCUGCCCCAGGCAAUGUCCCUGCUGCUCUUGGCUACAAGGAGAAAUCAGUCUGGGGUACAAGGAGAAUUCAUGCUUAAACUUGAAGCAAAGAGUAAGGGAAAGGGAGAACUUGGGGUGGAUUGACACAAAGAUUUCUUUGGGCACACAGCAACAAUCAGGGGAAGCCUUUCUCUCUUUGAUUGGCUUUGCUGCCCAAGAAAAAUCCAUGGCCAAACGAUUGCUUAGAUUUCUGCCUACUAAAGUCUACAAUUUCUGUACAACCCCACAAACACUCCGCUGAAGGCUCUGGAUGGGCUCUGAUAGGGAGCCGGAGGCUGGAGUCCAUGGCCAGGGAGGAUGAUUGCUCUCUCUGGUGCUGUUUCAUGUUCCUGGGCAGGUGUUGGGAGUUGCCCAGCUCAGGACAGCUCAGAGUGGUGUGAGUGACCCCAGCUGUGCCUCCUCAUGUGGUUUCCACAUAAAGGCUGGCUUGGAUGGCAGUGUAAGUCUGUGUGGCCCACGGUAGAGGGAAAACCCACAUCCUUAUGUUCUGGAUCCUGGCUUUUAUCCAAGGUGGGUGAGUGCCUUCACCUGACUCUCUCAGGCGUUGGGAAUUUCUCUGUGUCUGCUUGGAGCUUCCCAUUCAGCGAGCAUGGACGGACCUCGUGGUUUCCUCUGCAGGCACAUCUGAAACCUGAUUCUGCUGUGAUCCUGACCAGCAUCACACCCUGGUGGCUCCAGGCACUUGGCCCCCUCACAGCACAGCUGAGAAGAAGGUAAAUGGCCAAUGCCCAGCAGGCUUUUCCUAGGAAAGCAAGAACAAAGUGGACACAACAGCUGGUUCCAGCGAGCAUUUGGCAGAUGGAAGAUCUAGCCCUGCAACUCCUGCAGGUAAUGAGGAGAAAGGAGGACUACAGAGGACAGGAAAAGAGUUUGUAGUAAAAAAACUGCUGGCAACUGAGGCACCUCUCUUCUGCCUUUAUGAUCACUGUGCAACCAGGCUUCAAUGUUGUGGGAGCAAGUUGCACCAGCUUGUUUCCAGCCAUGGUACCCCAAAGACAAGUGGUGGCUGAAUUCAGAGCAACUGGCUUAUGGCAACCCCCAUCACAGUAUGAUAGACUGACAGAAUUCCCACCCCCAUGGAGUCCUGCAUGGAGCUGGGCUGGAGAAUUGCAUGGGAAAGCCCUAGACGGAGUUCCUCGCCUGUAGAGCAGCGAGCAAAGGGAAAAGCUGUCCCAGAAUGGAGCACCAGGAGGCCGCCCCCGUGCACUCACCCUCUGUCGAACUCGGCCACGUCGCGGAGCUGUCGCCGGUAGGUGUCCAGCAGCAGCCACGGGGAGCAGCGGGGCGCGGGCGGCGGCCGCGGCCGGGAGAAGCGGAAGCGCACGGAGCCCGCGGCCGUGAAGCAGAUGUGGCAGUCGGGCAGCCCUCCACAGGUGCCCAGCCCAGUUCCCUGCUGCUGUCACCCCACCCUGCAGGUCUGGGAAGGGGAAGCACAAACCCAAGUGAGCUGGUGUUCCAAACCCACUUCUGGGAGACAGCAGGAAAGAUGAAACACUCACCAUCCUCACCAGUCCCUGAGGAGGAGAGGUGGCUAGCAGCCACCAGCACCCUUUCUGAACCAAGAUGAUGAUGUAUCAAGGUACAAAAGUGUGCUAGCUUCACAUUUUAGCCUAAAUAGCUGUAAUUCCCAGCAUGGGAUGGGGGCCAAAGGGAAUUCACUGAGGCAGUCAGGCUCCCCAGCAGCCUGGCAGCUCCUUGAUCCACAAUGGAAAUUAAUCACUGAACUCAGGGAAGCACACCUUAAAUGAAAAAAAACAAACACCACCAACUUUGCUGAGGCAUCACCUUAAAUGGAAAAAUCAAACUAUGCAUAUCCAGCCUGUUGGAAUGACACUGUAAUUAAAACUUAAUGAAAA